This 355-nucleotide unclassified non-coding RNA is filed under the name soil metagenome. RNAcentral describes it as "partial contains 5.8S ribosomal RNA, internal transcribed spacer 2, and large subunit ribosomal RNA". The stretch from base 1 to 120 matches the Rfam family "5.8S ribosomal RNA", at positions 35 to 154 of the family's 154-position model. The record is from RNAcentral.
GAUGAAGAACGCAGUGAAAUGCGAUAAGUAAUGUGAAUUGCAGAAUUCAGUGAAUCAUCGAAUCUUUGAACGCACAUUGCGCCCGCCAGUAUUCUGGCGGGCAUGCCUGUCCGAGCGUCAUUUCAACCCUCGAACCCCUCCGGGGGGUCGGCGUUGGGGAUCGGCCCUGCCUCUUGGCGGUGGCCGUCUCCGAAAUACAGUGGCGGUCUCGCCGCAGCCUCUCCUGCGCAGUAGUUUGCACACUCGCAUCGGGAGCGCGGCGCGUCCACAGCCGUUAAACACCCAACUUCUGAAAUGUUGACCUCGGAUCAGGUAGGAAUACCCGCUGAACUUAAGCAUAUCAAUAAGCGGAGGA